RNAcentral lists this ribosomal RNA (254 nucleotides) under uncultured prokaryote. RNAcentral's name for it is "partial 16S ribosomal RNA". It matches the Rfam family "Bacterial small subunit ribosomal RNA", at positions 524 to 777 of the family's 1533-position model. The record is from RNAcentral.
UACGGAGGAUGCGAGCGUUAUCCGGAUUUAUUGGGUUUAAAGGGUGCGCAGGUUGUUUGAUAAGUCAGUGGUGAAAGUCUGUCGCUUAACGGUAGGAUUGCCAUUGAUACUGUUAGACUUGAAUAUGGAUGAGGUAGGCGGAAUGUGUAGUGUAGCGGUGAAAUGCAUAGAUAUUACACAGAACACCGAUUGCGAAGGCAGCUUACUAAUCCAUCAUUGACGCUGAGGCACGAAAGCGUGGGGAUCAAACAGGA